GAUGAACGCUGGCGGCGUGCCUAAUACAUGCAAGUCGAGCGAACAGACGAGGAGCUUGCUCCUCUGACGUUAGCGGCGGACGGGUGAGUAACACGUGGAUAACCUACCUAUAAGACUGGGAUAACUUCGGGAAACCGGAGCUAAUACCGGAUAAUAUAUUGAACCGCAUGGUUCAAUAGUGAAAGACGGUUUUGCUGUCACUUAUAGAUGGAUCCGCGCCGCAUUAGCUAGUUGGUAAGGUAACGGCUUACUAAGGCAACGAUGCGUAGCCGACCUGAGAGGGUGGUCGGCCACACGGGAACUGAGACACGGUCCAGACACCGACGGGAGGCAGCAGUAGGGAAUCUUCCGCGAUGGGCGAAAGCCUGACGGAGCAACGCCGCGGGAGUGAUGAAGGUCUUCGGAUCGUAAAACUCUGUUAUUAGGGAAGAACAAAUGUGUAAGUAACUAUGCACGUCUUGACGGUACCUAAUCAGAAAGCCACGGCUAACUACGUG
RNAcentral lists this ribosomal RNA (497 nucleotides) under uncultured bacterium. Its description in RNAcentral is "partial 16S ribosomal RNA". It matches the Rfam family "Bacterial small subunit ribosomal RNA", at positions 28 to 507 of the family's 1533-position model. The record is from RNAcentral.